This 392-nucleotide ribosomal RNA is filed under the name uncultured bacterium. Its description in RNAcentral is "bacterial SSU rRNA". It matches the Rfam family "Bacterial small subunit ribosomal RNA", at positions 30 to 420 of the family's 1533-position model. The record is from RNAcentral.
AUUGAACGCUGGCGGCAUGCCUUACACAUGCAAGUCGAACGGCAGCACGGGAGCUUGCUCCUGGUGGCGAGUGGCGAACGGGUGAGUAAUACAUCGGAACGUACCCUGAAGUGGGGGAUAACGUAGCGAAAGUUACGCUAAUACCGCAUAUUCUGUGAGCAGGAAAGAGGGGGAUCGCAAGACCUCUUGCUUUAGGAGCGGUCGAUGUCGGAUUAGCUAGUUGGUGAGGUAAAGGCUCACCAAGGCGACGAUCCGUAGCGGGUCUGAGAGGAUGAUCCGCCACACUGGAACUGAGACACGGUCCAGACUCCUACGGGAGGCAGCAGUGGGGAAUUUUGGACAAUGGGCGCAAGCCUGAUCCAGCCAUGCCGCGUGAGUGAAGAAGGCCUCGG